This 287-nucleotide unclassified non-coding RNA is filed under the name Glomus sp. Its description in RNAcentral is "partial internal transcribed spacer 2". Lineage: Eukaryota; Fungi; Glomeromycota; Glomeromycetes; Glomerales; Glomeraceae. The record is from RNAcentral.
GUGAAUCAUCAAAUCUUUGAACGCAAAUGGCGCUCUCCUCGGAUAGAAUGACUGUUUGAGGGUCAUCCUAUGAAAAUCAACAUCGUUGCUGUUUCGCGGUGGCGUUCGUCGGAAAUUGGGUCAUCUUAAAUCCUUUUGAUUUAAUCGACUUAGAAUUUUCUUUUGGUUCCAUGAACAUUUCUAGUAUCUAUUUCUUUACACGUUUAAGGUAUCUGUUUUUACUAGACGUGACCAUCAUAUCGGAUCGCAUACAUAAUCUUUCGUUAACUGACCUCAUACAGGUGAGG